UAGGGUGGAGCACUUGCUGGAGCAGGUGUGCUGGCAGAAAUCAUGACCCCAUAAAGGACCCAUUCUGGAUCAGUCUGACCCUGAAGGACUGCACUCUAGGGAAGGAACUGAUGUUGGAGUAGUUUGUGAAGAUCUGAAGUCCAAGGCAAGGACUCAGGUAGGAGAAGUUCAUGGAUGACCACCUCACAUAGGUGAUACCCACAUUGGAGCAGGGGAAGAGUGUGAAGAGGAAACAGCAGCAAAGACAAGUGUUGAAAUGACCACACCCUUCAUUUUAUGUCCACCUAUACCACCCAAGGUGGGAAAGCUAAACGCUGCAGCAUCUGACACUUAACCAAGGAAGCAGUAUGUAGAAACACAAGUUCAAUUCUGGUUACAAUAGGCAUGCACCAAUUGCUCCACUUUUCCUUGUUGACUGUUUUUCACAACACAAGAUGUUACUGAGAAACUAAAAGAAGUGUAAUGUCUUCAGAAAUGAACUCAAUCAAAAAUUCAUGGGCAAGCUUUCCUUAAUGUAUCAAGUUUAAAGGACAAGUCAAAAAACCCAAAGUUCUUUAACCCUUUGUAAAAAAAACCACACCAACUGAAGGCAAUGAAAAAUGCAUUCAAAAGAUUUUGUUUUCCUUAUUUUUGCAAAAAGAAAAGAAGAAAAUUGAUGUUUGUAGCACUUAGCAUUUUUAAGUGAGGAAUGAAGAAGACUGGGCUAAU
Pogoniulus pusillus (Red-fronted tinkerbird) is the source of this 708-nucleotide long non-coding RNA. RefSeq lists it as uncharacterized. Lineage: Eukaryota; Metazoa; Chordata; Aves; Piciformes; Lybiidae. The record is from RefSeq and is a predicted model, not a curated record. The transcript is spliced from 2 exons.